CCAGACUCCUACGGGAGGCAGCAGUAGGGAAUCUUCGGCAAUGGACGGAAGUCUGACCGAGCAACGCCGCGUGAGUGAAGAAGGUUUUCGGAUCGUAAAGCUCUGUUGUAAGAGAAGAAUGAGUGUGAGAGUGGAAAGUUCACACUGUGACGGUAUCUUACCAGAAAGGGACGGCUAACUACGUGCCAGCAGCCGCGGUAAUACGUAGGUCCCGAGCGUUGUCCGGAUUUAUUGGGCGUAAAGCGAGCGCAGGCGGUUAGAUAAGUCUGAAGUUAAAGGCUGUGGCUUAACCAUAGUACGCUUUGGAAACUGUUUAACUUGAGUGCAAGAGGGGAGAGUGGAAUUCCAUGUGUAGCGGUGAAAUGCGUAGAUAUAUGGAGGAACACCGGUGGCGAAAGCGGCUCUCUGGCUUGUAACUGACGCUGAGGCUCGAAAGCGUGGGGAGCAAACAGGAUUAGAUACCCUGGUAGUCCACGCCGUAAACGAUGAGUGCUAGGUGUUAGACCCUUUCCGGGGUUUAGUGCCGCAGCUAACGCAUUAAGCACUCCGCCUGGGGAGUACGACCGCAAGGUUGAAACUCAAAGGAAUUGACGGGGGCCCGCACAAG
RNAcentral lists this ribosomal RNA (607 nucleotides) under uncultured bacterium. RNAcentral describes it as "bacterial SSU rRNA". It matches the Rfam family "Bacterial small subunit ribosomal RNA", at positions 331 to 929 of the family's 1533-position model. The record is from RNAcentral.